CUUAGAUAAUAGCAAACUCAUUGAAAAAUGAGGACGCAAAGCUGCGGGCCUAAUGAAUAAUUUCUAUGGUAGCCGGGUUGCCGAA
Molecule: non-coding RNA, 85 nt
Filed under: Oceanobacillus limi
Lineage: Bacteria; Bacillati; Bacillota; Bacilli; Caryophanales; Bacillaceae
Description: Ornithinibacillus sp. H9B(2010) c-di-GMP-I riboswitch aptamer
Rfam family: c-di-GMP-I riboswitch aptamer
About the family: GEMM was predicted in a large-scale screen for bacterial structured RNA regulatory elements.
Source: Rfam by way of RNAcentral